Molecule: ribosomal RNA, 198 nt
Filed under: uncultured bacterium
Lineage: Bacteria
Description: partial 16S ribosomal RNA
Rfam family: Bacterial small subunit ribosomal RNA
Source: RNAcentral
AGGCUGCAACUCGCCUGCAUGAAGUCGGAAUUGCUGUAAUCGCGGAUCAGCAUGCCGCGGUGAAUACGUUCCCGGGCCUUGUACACACCGCCCGUCACACCAUGGGAGUCGGUAACACCCGAAGCCAGUAGCCUAACCGCAAGGAGGGCGCUGUCGAAGGUGGGAUUGAUGACUGGGGUGAAGUCGUAACAAGGUAGC